RNAcentral lists this long non-coding RNA (264 nucleotides) under Elaeis guineensis (African oil palm). RNAcentral describes it as "long non-coding RNA (EGUI_LNC078297)". The record is from RNAcentral. Lineage: Eukaryota; Viridiplantae; Streptophyta; Magnoliopsida; Arecales; Arecaceae.
AUGGGUUUUACUCUUUUGAGUGGAUCAACGAGUGUCCAUGCACCGUUGACCUUUAUGGACUCCAUUUCAGACUUUAUGGCUCUAAGCCACUAAUCAGAGUUGGACCUCUACAUGGUAUCCAUGUAAGUGCUUAGAUAUUUGUUAUUCUCAUCGAGUUUAAUAGAAUCACAUUUCGAACUUAAAAAUUGAAGUAUCUAUCCAUCGGAUGUAGCACUCCACCGGAUCUCCUUUGUGGUGUCUCUACAACGGGUUUUGGAUUUGAUC